GAUGAACGCUGGCGGCGUGCCUAAUACAUGCAAGUCGAGCGAACGGACGAGAAGCUUGCUUUUCUGAUGUUAGCGGCGGACGGGUGAGUAACACGUGGAUAACCUACCUAUAAGACUGGGAUAACUUCGGGAAACCGGAGCUAAUACCGGAUAAUAUUUUGAACCGCAUGGUUCAAAAGUGAAAGACGGUCUUGCUGUCACUUAUAGAUGGAUCCGCGCUGCAUUAGCUAGUUGGUAAGGUAACGGCUUACCAAGGCAACGAUGCAUAGCCGACCUGAGAGGGGGAAGGGCCAAAUUGGAAUGGAGACACGGCUCAGGCCUCGAGGGGGGGCGGAAUUUGGGAUGUUUACGAAAGGGGGGAAGCCCUGACGGGGAAAAGCUGGUGGAGAGAUGAGAGUGUUGGGGUGAGAAAACCUUUUUAUUAGGGAAAAAAAAAGUUAGAAUUAACAGGGCACAUUUUGAAGGUACUUAUGCAGAAAGCCAGGGGAAACUAGGG
RNAcentral lists this ribosomal RNA (496 nucleotides) under uncultured bacterium. Its description in RNAcentral is "partial 16S ribosomal RNA". It matches the Rfam family "Bacterial small subunit ribosomal RNA", at positions 28 to 506 of the family's 1533-position model. The record is from RNAcentral.